Non-coding RNA from Misgurnus anguillicaudatus (oriental weatherfish), 1583 nucleotides. The record is from RefSeq and is a predicted model, not a curated record. Lineage: Eukaryota; Metazoa; Chordata; Actinopteri; Cypriniformes; Cobitidae.
GGCUGUUGUAAGUUCACACGAGUCAGCUGAUGACGUUUCACUUGGACAGACAACCACGCAUUGUUGUAUAUUUUUUUGCGUGUGUUAUUAUUAUUUUAUUAUUAUGAAAUUCGUGAACAUUAUUAUUGAGCCUUGGCAGUCUAUUUUGUAUUUGUUUUAUUGAGGAGAAAAAAACAGACAAGAACGCAUAUUGUGUUGCGCCUAAAAAAAAAAAAAAUAUAUAUUGUGUUGCGCCUGCGCUGUGACGUUCUUUUUUCAACCGCAUUUCCAGUCAAGAGGUCAAGAAUGUUCCUGUCUGCAUCAGCUAUCCAUCUGAAAAAGAAAAGCUGGCACUCGCAAAGGAGAUUGUGUUGUUGGAUUAUGGUCUCAUUUGGUCAAAAUGAGGGACAUGUACUUGGAUUUAUAAAAAUGAGACUACAGAACAUCAGACGGAAGCUUCAAUGGAGUUGACGUGAGAGGACAUCAUCAAUAAAGAAUGCCAUUGACCAAACCUUCAGUCAUCAAAGGAGAUGGAUACAGGUGGACAUUGAGUUUUCCAGACUUACCGAUAGGAAAGAAGACAUGUUUAUCAGGAAAUGGGAGGUGACAACUAUUGAGAAACUCAGGGAAAUAGCAUCUUUAGAGAAGAAAAUGGACACCAGACAUUCAUUGAAGAAAGCUGACAGUCAAAAUAAUGAUCUUCUGCUGUGUGAAUUCUGCUGUCUCAGACCUGUGGGACAUGGUGGCGGCUGGUACCAGCGUGACCUCUUUGCUUACUAAAUGAUGAAAAGGUGUCUAAAAUCAGCUCAGCCACAGUUGGUUUCCAGCGGUUCUUCAGGACAUAUGUAAUUGUUUUAAUGAAUGAUUCUCUUGCCUUUCCACUUGAUGUUUACAAUCUGACCUGUGCGGUAGACAGACUUUUCAAAUUUACUAGCUAAGUAACCUUAAGUAUCCCUGCCAACUGUCUUCAGUUUUUUUUGGUAUGAAUAUGAUCUACCCUUGUCCCAGUCCUCUUGCAAACGAUCCAAGCCAAUGAAGUUUCAAAAUGGACCGCAAAAUUGCAGUCUGUUUUAACCAAUGCAUGCACUGUGUGGCGGUUUCCCGGACAGGGAUUAGACUAGUCCUAGACUAAAACAUUUUUAAGAGCUGUCCAAACUGAAAACAACUUGCACUGACAUAUCUUAAAAUACAUCAGUGCCCUUUGUUUUGCCUCAAAAUGCACACAGGGAAUGUUUUUAGUAAGGCAUGUUUGUUAAACCAGAUAUAUUUCCUAAUUAAACUAAGGCCCAGUCCUGGAUUAAGAUAAUCCCUGUCCGGGAAACCACCCCUAAAUAUUUUAUACUGGAAAUUUCUUUGAAUACACUUGUCAAGUUCAUUUGAAGUAUUUUUCUUAAUGUAAAAUAACAUGUUAAUGUUUCAGGACAAGGUAAGAAUUUUUGAUAACUUGCAUGUUGAAAACGAUUUCAGACAUUGUUUCAACAUGUUUAACACAUGUGCUUUUAAAUUCAAUGAAUUAUUUUAUAAAUGGUGUUUUUUUAUGUAUGAAUGUAAUGUAUGUUUGAAGUGAUUAUACUUGCACUUAAAUUUAUUUAAAUUAGCAUACA